UCCCGUAUUUCCAGCGAAGGGGCAACACCUGUUCCCAUCCCGAACACAGCCGUUAAGCCCUUCAGCGCCGAUGGUAGUGCCUGUAAACCAACGGGUGCAAGAGUAGGCCAAUGCGGGAA
Molecule: ribosomal RNA, 119 nt
Filed under: Candidatus Komeilibacteria bacterium RIFCSPHIGHO2_01_FULL_52_14
Lineage: Bacteria; Candidatus Komeiliibacteriota
Also listed under: 1 other name
Source: RNAcentral